AGGACGAACGCUGGCGGCGUGCUUAACACAUGCAAGUCGAGCGGAAAGGCCCUUCGGGGUACUCGAGCGGCGAACGGGUGAGUAACACGUGAGUAACCUGCCCUAGGCUUUGGGAUAACCCUCGGAAACGGGGGCUAAUACCGGAUAUGACUACUGGCCGCAUGGUUGGUGGUGGAAAGUUUUUCGGCCUGGGAUGGGCUCGCGGCCUAUCAGCUUGUUGGUGGGGUGAUGGCCUACCAAGGCGACGACGGGUAGCCGGCCUGAGAGGGCGACCGGCCACACUGGGACUGAGACACGGCCCAGACUCCUACGGGAGGCAGCUUUGGGGAAUAUUGCACAAUGGGCGGAAGCCUGAUGCAGCGACGCCGCGUGAGGGAUGACGGCCUUCGGGUUGUAAACCUCUUUCAGCAGGGACGAAGCGUAAGUGACGGUACCUGCAGAAGAAGCGCCGGCCAACUACGUGCCAGCAGCCGCGGUAAGACGUAGGGCGCGAGCGUUGUCCGGAUUUAUUGGGCGUACUGAGCUCGUAGGCGGCUUGUCGCGUCGACUGUGAAAACCCGCGGCUCAACGGCGGGCCUGCGGUCGAUACGGGCAGGCUAGAGUUCGGUAGGGGAGACUGGAAUUCCUGGUGUAGCGGUGAAAUGCGCAGAUAUCAGGAGGAACACCGGUGGCGAAGGCGGGUCUCUGGGCCGAUACUGACGCUGAGGAGCGAAAG
Molecule: ribosomal RNA, 715 nt
Filed under: Micromonospora sp. YIM 69642
Lineage: Bacteria; Bacillati; Actinomycetota; Actinomycetes; Micromonosporales; Micromonosporaceae
Description: bacterial SSU rRNA
Rfam family: Bacterial small subunit ribosomal RNA
Source: RNAcentral